GCUUACACAUGCAGUCGAGCGGGCGUAGCAAUACGUCAGCGGCAGACGGGUGAGUAACGCGUGGGAACGUACCUUUUGGUUCGGAACAACACAGGGAAACUUGUGCUAAUACCGGAUAAGCCCUUACGGGGAAAGAUUUAUCGCCGAAAGAUCGGCCCGCGUCUGAUUAGCUAGUUGGUGAGGUAAUGGCUCACCAAGGCGACGAUCAGUAGCUGGUCUGAGAGGAUGAUCAGCCACAUUGGGACUGAG
RNAcentral lists this ribosomal RNA (249 nucleotides) under Bradyrhizobium sp. LMS77. Its description in RNAcentral is "partial 16S ribosomal RNA". It matches the Rfam family "Bacterial small subunit ribosomal RNA", at positions 48 to 323 of the family's 1533-position model. The record is from RNAcentral. Lineage: Bacteria; Pseudomonadati; Pseudomonadota; Alphaproteobacteria; Hyphomicrobiales; Nitrobacteraceae.